UACUAGAAACCUUAGAAGUAUAACGGUGGCUGGUGUUUGUGGCUGGUGUAGUGUUUUGGUUUGAGAGGCAGACUUAGAGCCUAGAGUUGGAGUGUAGGCUCAGGAAUCACACACACACACACACACACACACACACACACACACACACACACACCCCUCCACCCCCACUCAAUCGAGCUUCCAGAAUCCAGCAAAGGCAAAAUGACAGCAGGCUUCCUCCUGUCUCGUUCCCAACAUCCAGGCCCACGACGAAGCAUGAAUGGCAGCACGUGGGAACAGGACGGGGUGGUAGACGGAAGAACUCACCUGGCUGGUUGGUGAUGCUGUUUGAUUCACGGAAACCCCGAACAGGAAUGUCCGGCCUCUUGCCUGACGGGGGCCCGGGAGGACGGGGACCAGGUCCCAGCCAACCUCGCCCUCCACGGAGCUCUGGGCACCGAGACUGGCGGGCGCCGGGAGAGCCGGAGAACCAAGGGUUGCAUCUGUGCUCUGGUUUGGGUUCAGUUUUAUUUUAAGGCCAGGAAAAUGCAAAGCAUCCUGGCCUGUAUUCCUCACGAUUCUUGCCAGGGGAAAGAAAUCUGUCUCCUGUUUCAAGAACUGCACGCGAUGGCUUGUGGUUGGGGCAGUAAAGACAACCCCACGGAACUUUACAGGGUGCAACGGGCUUUCCUUCGUCAGAUCCCAAGUGGGACGCCAGUAAGCCCUGACCGCCAAUCCUAUUCAUCAGCCUAGUCACGGAGCUGAUGGCUCCCGACUAGAUCCCCAGACUUCCUGUCCCCUGUCAACACGGGGCCAGGCUCCCCCAGCAGGAAGAGUCUUGGAACCACAAGCCACCACCUCGAGCCUCAUCACGGGCAUACCUUCCCCUUCAGAUGCUGCAGAGAAGCUGUGCGAUCAGACACACACACUUACACACCCCUCUUCCUGCGCGCCUCCUCCCAAGGCUGUGUCACAAAUCUAUUGUGCCACCUGGAAUUCCCUCCCCACCUCCCCAACCCCAAAUGAUUUUUUUUUUUUUUUUGGCUUUUUAGGGCCAAACCCACGGCAUAUGGAAUUCCCAGGCUAGGGGUCGAAUUGGAGCUGUAGCUGCUGGCCAGGGCCACACCCGAUCCGAGCCACAUCUGCGACCUACAUCACAGCUCAUGACAACACUGGAUCCGUAAGCCACUGAACGAGGCCAGGGAUCGAACCUGCAUCCUCAUGGAUACCAGUUGGAUUCAUUACCACUGAGCUGCAGCAGGAACUGAUUUUUUUUAUUAGUGGGUUCUACAUGCCUAUGUUGGGUGAUUUGAGAAGAAGGAGAACGCAGAUAUUUGCCCACUAAGAUGAUCAUUGUUAUCAUCACGGCAUAUUUUUAAGCAUAUUUUUACCGUAGUUGUCACCAUCAUACCCACAGGAUCUUGUCUCUUGCAUACAUUUCGCCUGCCGUCAUCACAGGCAUCUCCCAUGUCCCUAAAAAUGGUUUGUCAGGCCUUACUUUCAGAAGUUUGCAACACUCUGCGGUGAGGAUGUACCACCAUUUUUCUAACCAAUUAUUGUUGGACAAUUAGCUGUUUCUAAUGUUUCAGUGUUAAAUAAAAAAAUGUUGCAGGGACCA
This 1597-nucleotide long non-coding RNA is filed under the name Sus scrofa (pig). RNAcentral's name for it is "lncRNA (ENSSSCG00030013576.1)". The record is from RNAcentral. Lineage: Eukaryota; Metazoa; Chordata; Mammalia; Artiodactyla; Suidae.